CACGUAGGGCGCGAGCGUUGUCCGGAAUUAUUGGGCGUAAAGAGCUCGUAGGCGGCCUGUUGCGUCCGCUGUGAAAGCCCGGGGCUUAACCCCGGGUCGGCAGUGGAUACGGGCAGGCUAGAGGUAGGUAGGGGAGAAUGGAAUUCCCGGUGUAGCGGUGAAAUGCGCAGAUAUCGGGAGGAACACCGGUGGCGAAGGCGGUUCUCUGGGCAUUACCUGACGCUGAGGAGCGAAAGUGUGGGGAGCGAACAGG
This 253-nucleotide ribosomal RNA is filed under the name uncultured bacterium. RNAcentral describes it as "partial 16S ribosomal RNA". It matches the Rfam family "Bacterial small subunit ribosomal RNA", at positions 524 to 776 of the family's 1533-position model. The record is from RNAcentral.